GACCUGGUGGUGUAGUGGUAACACACUUGCUCAACAUAUAUAGUUUGUGCUCUAGAAUCUUUGUGCAAGAGAUCCCUGUUUGACUCGGGGUUGGGUCA
This is a non-coding RNA of Mycena rebaudengoi, 98 nucleotides long. NCBI's taxonomy places the organism in Eukaryota, Fungi, Basidiomycota, Agaricomycetes, Agaricales, Mycenaceae. The record is from the annotation of a GenBank genome assembly.